This 440-nucleotide ribosomal RNA is filed under the name uncultured bacterium. RNAcentral describes it as "partial 16S ribosomal RNA". It matches the Rfam family "Bacterial small subunit ribosomal RNA", at positions 338 to 795 of the family's 1533-position model. The record is from RNAcentral.
CCUACGGGUGGCAGCAGUAGGGAAUAUUGCUCAAUGGGGGAAACCCUGAAGCAGCAACGCCGCGUGAUGGAUGAAGGUCUUAGGAUUGUAAACUCCUUUUGUUAGAGAAGAUAAUUACGGUAUCUCACGCAUACUCAACGGCCAACUCCGUUACAGCAGGCGCGGUACAACGGAGGGUGCCAGCGUUACUCGGAAUCACUGGGCGUAAAGCGGGCGCAGGCGGGCUGUUAAGUCAGAUGUGAAAUCCUGUAGCUUAACUCCAGAACUGCAUUUGAAACUAUGAGUCUUGAGUGUGGGAGAGGUAGGUGGAAUGCUUGGUGUAGGGGUAAAAUCCGUAGAUAUCAAGAGGAAUACUCAUUGCGAAGGCGACCUACUGGGACAUGACUGACGCUCAUGCACGAAAGCGUGGGGAGCAAACAGGAUUAGAUACCCUUGUAGUC